ACCUGGUUGAUUCUGCCAGUGGUCUAUGCUCGUCUCAAAGACUAAGCCAUGCAUGUCUAAGUUCACAACAAAAGUUGAAACUGCGAAGCGCUCAGUAAAUCAGUUAAAAUUUAUUCGAUCGUUGAACCACAAGGGAUAACUGUGGUAAAUCUAGAGCUAAUACGUGUGAAAUGACUACUUUGGUAGUGGCAUUUAUUAGUAAAAACACUAAGGUGUAGAUGAAUCUAGAUAACUAUGUAUACCGUCAUGUAAUAUGAAGGUAGUUCGAUCGAGUUUCUGCCCUAUCAUGUUGUUUGUAAGUUAAGGGCUUACAAAGCAGAUAACGGGUAACGGAGAAUCAGGGUUCGAUUCCGGAGAGGGAGCCUGAGAAACGGCUACCACAUCCAAGGAAGGCAGCAGGCGCGCAAAUUACCCAAUCCUGACAUAGGGAGGUAGUGACGAGAAAUAUCGAACCGAUGAAUUCAUCGGUACCGAAAUAUACUUGAUUUAAAAAAUCUUGUUUUAAUUGGAGGGCAAGUCUGGUGCCAGCAGCCGCGGUAAUUCCAGCUCCAAUAGUGUACAUCAAAAUUGUUGCACUUAAAACGCUCGUAGUUGGAUUGUACCCUUUAAGAUUGUAUGAGUAAUCAACAAUGUUGGAGGGAAAUGUUGCGGGACUUGGUAGUGAACUUGAUUGAUCGCUGCUAAUGUUCCUGCAUAGCGUGCCUUGAAUAAAGCAUAGUGCUCAAAACAGGCGAAUGCUUGAGUGUGCUAGCAUGGAACGAAUAUAUGCCACAUAGUGGUUGAUUAAGAGGAACACUAGAGGGUGUUAGUACUUGAUGGCGAGAGGUAAAAUUCUUAGACCCAUCAAAGACUGACUAUUGCGAAGGCAUUCACCAAGAGUGUUUUCAUUAAUCAAGAACGAAAGUUGAAGGUUCGAAGACGAUCAGAUACCGUCCUAGUUUUAACUGUAAACUAUGCUAACACGGGACUAGCCCGCUAGCUAGUUGGUUAAUCCCCCUGCGAAAGCUUUAGUGUUCGAGUUGUGGGGAUAGUAUAGUCGCAAGGCUGAAAUUUAAACGAAAUUGACGGAAAGGCACCACCAGGAGUGGAGCCUGCGGCUUAAUUUGACUCAACACGGGGCAACUUACCAGGUCCAGACAUUGGGAGGAUUGACAGACUGAUGGAUCUUUCAUGAUUCAAUGAUUGGUGGUGCAUGGCCGUUCUUAGUUGGUGGAGUGAUCUGUCAGGUUGAUUCCGGUAACGAACGAGAUUCCAAUCCCUAGUUUCUUUCUCUGUCGACUUUAACGAUGCGGAGUGAAUAGGGAGACUGCACUUGCAAGAGUGAGGAAGUGGAGCAAUAACAGGUCUGUGAUGCCCUUCGAUGUCCUGGGCUGCACGCGCGCUACAAUGAAAGCAACAAAAAGUUCCUGCUCUGAUAAGAAUGGGUAAUCUUGUAAUCGCUUUCGUGCUAUGGAUUGAGCAUUGUAAUUAUUGCUCAUAAAAGAGGAAUUCCUCGUAAACGUGAGUCACCAACUCGUGUUGAAUAUGUCUCUGCCUUUUGUACACACCGCCCGUCGCUACUACCGAUUGAAUUUAUUUGCGAGAAGUAAGGAUUUGUUCAACUAUUUAUUGGUUGGAUAAAGAGAAACUUCGAGUGAAUAUAUUACUAGGAAGUAAAAGUCGUAACAAGGUUUCCCGUAGGUGAACCAGCGGGAG
Molecule: ribosomal RNA, 1695 nt
Filed under: Ceratomyxa leatherjacketi
Lineage: Eukaryota; Metazoa; Cnidaria; Myxozoa; Bivalvulida; Ceratomyxidae
Description: SSU rRNA
Rfam family: Eukaryotic small subunit ribosomal RNA
Source: RNAcentral